AUUGAACGCUGGCGGCAUGCCUUACACAUGCAAGUCGAACGGUAACAGGUCUUCGGAUGCUGACGAGAGGCGAACGGGUGAGUAAUACAUCGGAACGUGCCUAGUAGUGGGGGAUAACUACUCGAAAGAGUGGCUAAUACCGCAUGAGAUCUACGGAUGAAAGCAGGGGAUCGCAAGACCUUGUGCUACUAGAGCGGCCGAUGGCAGAUUAGGUAGUUGGUGGGAUAAAAGCUUACCAAGCCGACGAUCUGUAGCUGGUCUGAGAGGACGAUCAGCCACACUGGGACUGGGACACGGCCCAGACUCCUACGGGAGGCAGCAGUGGGGAAUUUUGGACAAUGGGCGAAAGCCUGAUCCAGCAAUGCCGCGUGCAGGAUGAAGGCCUUCGGGUUGUAAACUGCUUUUGUACGGAACGAAAAGCCCUGGGUUAAUACCCUGGGGUCAUGACGGUACCGUAAGAAUAAGCACCGGCUAACUACGUGCCAGCCGCCGCGGUAA
Molecule: ribosomal RNA, 498 nt
Filed under: uncultured bacterium
Lineage: Bacteria
Description: partial 16S ribosomal RNA
Rfam family: Bacterial small subunit ribosomal RNA
Source: RNAcentral